AUUGAACGCUGGCGGCAGGCCUAACACAUGCAAGUCGAGCGAGCGGCGGACGGGUGAGUAAUGUCUGGGGAACUGCCCGAUAGAGGGGGAUAACUACUGGAAACGGUGGCUAAUACCGCAUACUAUCGGAUGUACCCAGAUGGGAUUAGCUAGUAGGUGGGGUAAAGGCUCACCUAGGCGACGAUCUCUAGCUGGUCUGAGAGGAUGACCAGCCACACUGGAACUGAGAAACGGCCCAGACUCCUACGUGAGGCAGCAGUGGGGAAUAUUGCACAAUGGGCGCAAGCCUGAUGCAGCCAUGCGGCGUGUGUGAAGAAGGCCUUCGGGUUGUAAAGUACUUUCAGCGAGGAGGCGUUACUCGCAGAAGAAGCACCGGCUAACUCCGUGCCAGCAGCCGCGGUAAUUC
Molecule: ribosomal RNA, 406 nt
Filed under: uncultured bacterium
Lineage: Bacteria
Description: partial 16S ribosomal RNA
Rfam family: Bacterial small subunit ribosomal RNA
Source: RNAcentral